AGGGAGUGCAGAAAUUUUCAAAUACUGAUGAAAGAGCUAUUCCAUGGAAGAAAAUUUUGGAGUAUGGUAGUUCAGUAUUUCUUAGAGGCCGUACUACAGUAGACCUUAAGGAUAAAUGGAGGAACAUGUGUAAAGGAAGUCCUAAGUGCAAAUAGUUUUGUCAGCCUGGUCAGUUUGCUUGCAAAGUUGCUUUCUCUCAUUUUGUUCAGCCUCUGACUAAUUUUUAUCAGGAAUUAAUUUUCCUCUGAUUCUUCUUCGUUUGUGGCAGCUGAAGAUUACAUGGGAGAAAUCUGAAGAUUAUAUGUUGUAGCUACAGUAUAAUCCAGUCAGACAUUGAGGAAAAUGGCUGUGGUUGACCCAUAAAAUGGUCGAUGCCAAGUCUUAUGGUUACUGCUAUGGGAUAAGGACAGUCUUUCUUAUGAUCACAAAUCUCAAAUUUAAGCAUUCUCAGAAGUUCUGGAAGCAUCCUUUUAUUUCAGAUCAUGUCAAAUAUGAUAAGAUGUGGGAAGAGCUGAAUGUGUACAGCAUGUACUCUUCUCCAUUUCUGCUUAUCUAACACUGUCAAUUAGGGGUGUAGAUAUCUAGAAUCUGGUGUUUAUAUGGGCUGUUAUAUCAGUGUCUGUACAUACAACCUCAGAUGUUAUUGAAAAAGGGCAUAGAAUUUAUGAGAAUCUUUUGUAACUUUAUAAAAGAUAUCUAGUUCUGAACUAUGAAAGGA
RNAcentral lists this unclassified non-coding RNA (718 nucleotides) under Hevea brasiliensis (rubber tree). Lineage: Eukaryota; Viridiplantae; Streptophyta; Magnoliopsida; Malpighiales; Euphorbiaceae. The record is from RNAcentral.